Long non-coding RNA from Vicia villosa (hairy vetch), 2044 nucleotides. RefSeq lists it as uncharacterized. The transcript is spliced from 3 exons. Lineage: Eukaryota; Viridiplantae; Streptophyta; Magnoliopsida; Fabales; Fabaceae. The record is from RefSeq and is a predicted model, not a curated record.
GACCUGCACUGCUAUUUAUUAUGCCAACAAGCUGCCUUCUGCUGGUAUGGUGCUUGCUACAGCGAAAUUUGCCAAAAUUUUGAUGAAUUUAGCACUUUGUAAACUGCAUGAGCACUCUCUAAAUUGAAAUGAUCUUGCAGUGACCAUGUAUCUUCUAUGUAUUAACUUCUUGUAUAAGUUGAAAUUUGCUUAUGUACCUCUACAUUUUCAAAGCUCUCUCAUCUAACUUCUCCAUGAGCACUUAUAAACAUAUAAUGGAAUUUCUGUAAGUUAGGAAUGAAAUAGUUACAAUGGGACUAUAUAUUCUAAUACUUCAGAAGUUCCUAUUAUGGUUUUGUUACAAUGAAAUAGUUUAAAAAUAUGCGACAUUUGUUAAAGUUUUGUUUUAAUGAUCUUUUCAUUAUUGUUUUAGUAAUGGCAUGAAAAAUGGGCAUCUUAAAUUGGUUUAAAAAUUGUAAUCAGGUCAUAUCCCUGUUCCCAUCAUCUCAAGGCUUAGAAGUGACUUGGUCAUCUGUUGUUAAAAUUGGCCAAUCUCGGUACCAUGAGGGGCCUGGCAAAGAUCCAUUUAGACCUGACCAGAAGACACCAGUGAAGAAUUUCUUUCUUUCUGGUUCUUACACAAAGCAGAUUUUUUAAGAGAAUGUCACUAGAGACAUCAGAUUAUCUUACGGUGUGUGGUUCUAGAGGCUCCUAAAUUUCACUACAGCUUAAUUAAGACAUGGAUAAGACAUGGAUGCAUUCAAAUCGAUUGUCGAAAGAGUACGAGAAAGGGGUAUCGAAAUUAGUUAAAUUUGCGGUUGCGCACGCUGAAGACCCGAGUCGAAUGAAGUGUCCUUGCUUAGGUUGUUGUUAUGGGAGUCGGGUUGACGUGGUUCAGUUGGCAUCGCAUUUAGUACUGUUUGGAAUUGAUAGAAGUUAUACAUGUUGGAAUUUGCAUGGUGAGAAAAGUAACGGGAAUGUCAAAUCAGGGGAUAAUACGACGUAUGCUUCAAACGACAAUGGCACAAACACAUACGAUUAUGAUCGAGUCGAAGAGAUUGCAGAAGCACUUGAAGAAGAUCUUGAGGAUUUUCCCGAAAUGUUUUAGAGGUUGGUAAGCGAUGCAGAGAAACUGUUGUAUGAUGGUUGUACAAAAUUCACAAGAUUGUCUGUGGUGUUAAAGUUGUACAACUUAAAGUCGAAAAAUGGAUGGUCAGAUAAAAGUUUCACUGAGUUAUUAGCCCUUAUGAAAGAUAUGCUACCAGAGUAUAAUGUUCUUCCCAAUCGAAUGUAUGAGGCCAAAAAGAUGUUGUCCUCUAUUGGCCUGAGCUAUGAUAGGAUACAUGCUUGUCCAAAAGAUUGCGUUUUGUUUCGAAACGAGUAUGCAGCGUUAAAUGAGUGUCCUAAAUGCGGUUCCCCUCGAUAUAAGAAAAAGUUGUCUCUGGCAAAAGUUUUAUGGUAUUUUCCUAUAAUUCCGAGAUUUAGACGCAUGUAUCGUAGUGAAACCGAUUCAAGACACUUGACUUGGCAUGCAGAUGAAAGAAUUAUUGAUGGAAAGUUGCGACAUCCAGCAGACUCACCAUAGUGGAUGAAAGUUGAUAAUGAUUAUCCUGAAUUUGGUAAGUGUAGGCUAGUUGAGGUUAGUGUACUGCACAAGUGAAAAGCAAGUUGCGGACUUGUUGACAAAAGCGGUAUCGAAUGAAGUUUUCAAGAAGCUAUUGAGGAGUUUGAACAUGAGGAAUGUUGAGCACUUGACUUAAGGUGGUUUGUUGAAAGUUGGUUUUAAGUCAUAUGCAUUUUGGAGACCUCUGGUAGCUGUUUUGGAGAAACAGCUUAUUGGAAUAAGCAUUUUGGCUGGUUCUGGAAUUUGCAGGUUUCGAAGAAGAAACCGGUUUCCAGAGCUGGUUUCGAAUAAGAAACCGGUUUCUAGGUUUUUGGAAAACGGUUUCUAGCACGAUAUUUUGAAAAAUAACAAUGUUAUUUUGUUCAGUUUAUUAGUUGUUUUGUUAUAGUUGCUUAGUUUUGUACACACUAUAAAAGGACUAUUUUGUGUAAUAUUGCAACU